ACACAUGCAAGUCGAACGGCAGCACGGGUGCUUGCACCUGGUGGCGAGUGGCGAACGGGUGAGUAAUACAUCGGAACAUGUCCUGUAGUGGGGGAUAGCCCGGCGAAAGCCGGAUUAAUACCGCAUACGAUCUAUGGAUGAAAGCGGGGGACCUUCGGGCCUCGCGCUAUAGGGUUGGCCGAUGGCUGAUUAGCUAGUUGGUGGGGUAAAGGCCUACCAAGGCGACGAUCAGUAGCUGGUCUGAGAGGACGACCAGCCACACUGGGACUGAGACACGGCCCAGACUCCUACGGGAGGCAGCAGUGGGGAAUUUUGGACAAUGGGCGAAAGCCUGAUCCAGCAAUGCCGCGUGUGUGAAGAAGGCCUUCGGGUUGUAAAGCACUUUUGUCCGGAAAGAAAUCCUCGGUUCUAAUAUAGCCGGGGGAUGACGGUACCGGAAGAAUAAGCACCGGCUAACUACGUGCCAGCAGCCGCGGUAAUACGUAGGGUGCGAGCGUUAAUCGGAAUUACUGGGCGUAAAGCGUGCGCAGGCGGUUUGCUGAGACCGAUGUGAAAUCCCCGGGCUCAACCUGGGAACUGCAUUGGUGACUGGCAGGCUAGAGUAUGGCAGAGGGGGGUAGAAUUCCACGUGUAGCAGUGAAAUGCGUAGAGAUGUGGAGGAAUACCGAUGGCGAAGGCAGCCCCCUGGGCCAAUACUGACGCUCAUGCACGAA
Molecule: ribosomal RNA, 713 nt
Filed under: uncultured beta proteobacterium
Lineage: Bacteria; Pseudomonadati; Pseudomonadota; Betaproteobacteria
Description: bacterial SSU rRNA
Rfam family: Bacterial small subunit ribosomal RNA
Source: RNAcentral